Molecule: long non-coding RNA, 2382 nt
Organism: Clupea harengus (Atlantic herring)
Lineage: Eukaryota; Metazoa; Chordata; Actinopteri; Clupeiformes; Clupeidae
Source: Ensembl
CUCCAGGGGAGUUAGGAAAGGAGGUGGGAUCUCCAGGGGAGUUAGGAAAGGAGGUGGGAUCUCCAGGGGAGUUAGGAAAGGAGGUGGGAUCUCCAGGGGAGUUAGGAAAGGAGGUGGGAUCUCCAGGGAAGUUAGGAAAGGAGGUGGGAUCUCCAGGGAAGUUAGGAAAGGAGGUGGGAUCUCCAGGGAAUUUAGGAAAGGAGGUGAAGCCUUUAGUGGAGCUGACAAAGCAGGUGAAACCCCUGGAACUUAGUAAAGAGGCAGACGACCCAGGAGAAGAGUUAGUGUGUGGAGAGGUGAAGUCUCCAAAGGAGGCGAUGGAGGAGGUGAGGGAGGUGACAGCUGUACAGGAGGUGCAUGAGGAGCUGGGAGGUGUGCAGGAGGUGCAGGAGGAGGUGAGGAAAGCCUCUGGGGCUCAGGAGGAGCUGGAGAACUCUGAGCGAGCGGAGGAGACCAGGAGCCUGAGCCGCCUCAGCAGGGGCAGCUGCAGAGCACGAUCAGACGACCUGACCAUAUGAGCCAUACACAAACAAACACACAAACAAACAAACAAAUAUAUGAAAUACAUACACAAACAAACACACAAACAAACAAACAUAUGAAAUACAUACACAAACAAACAUAUGAAAUACUUACACAAACAAACAAACAAACAAACAUAUGAAAUACAUACACAAAAAAACAUAUGAAAUACAUACACAAACAAACACACAAACAAACAAACAUAUGAAAUACAUACACAAACAAACAAACAAACAUAUGAAAUGCAUACAAACGCAUACACACAUACAUACAUACAUAUAUACAUACAUACAUACAUCAACAGGUGCCUGACUAAAUACCAGUAUCUUUAUAUACUCCAGCACAACAAACCCCCUCAUGUCCCAUACACAUGCUAGUCAACGUGUGCUGUAUCUGGUCAGCGUAUUUCAUCUGACCAUAUUGGGGAAACUUCUCUUACUUUUCACACAAAUCAGCAAACAAUAAAACAACCCAGUGCCUUAAUAUAACCUGCUUCAAAAAAGCAGUGAGCUGUUAAAAGCAGUGCAUCCCUGUGUUAUUUCUGGUUUUAGAUCAUUAAUUCAUUUUAUUUUGUAUGAUGACAAAUAUGAGGUCGACCUAUGGCUUGUAUAGACCGCUAAUUUAUUAACUUAUUUAUGACCUGUGACAUAACUGUGAUGUAGGGUAAUGUGCUUUUGAACAGAAGAGGUUAGUCAGUGUCUCAGUGCCUGGCAGCCUGCGGAUGAGGUUUAUGUUGAAACACAUGGAACAAUGAAUACAUUCCUCUCAUUUUGUGGAAGAUCUGAUUGUUUUAACACCUUACAGGAGACAAGAGCAGUGUCGUAUCGUUGACCACAAUGGCAGAUCUGAAAACAAAAUGUAACUUUUUAACUUCAUAGUUGUUCAAUUUGAUUGAAAAACGUUUAACUCUGUGUGCAUACUGUUAACACUGUUGCUGACUGUCAUCCUGUUUUCAAAUUGACUCUCAGUUGACAUGAACAUAAAUGAAGAAUGUCUGUCCUCCUGAAAGUGUGUGUUUAUGUGUGUAAUUUGUAUCUAUAUAAAGUGUGUGUUUAUGUGUGUAACGUGUAGCUAUCGUAUCGUUCUCGCAUCACCUCAUACAUGUAGGGGGACCAGACAGCACAUUAUCAAAUCACGAAUCAAUAUGUUCAGUCUCUAAGACAGCGCAUUAUGAAAUCACAAAUCAAUAUGUUCAGUCUCUAAGACAGCACAUUAUCAAAUCACAAAUCAAUAUGUUCAGUCUCUAAAACAGCACAUUAUCAAAUCACAAAUCAAUGGCAUGCAGACAAAUAAAAGCAUAUCGGCUUUACUCCCCAAAGUAAAUGUGUGACCUAUUGCAUUGAGAGACUUUCAGUGGCUUGAGAAACGCUGACAAGUCUGAACCUUGUCAGAACGAACGGCUGACAAUGAUAACACCGCUAACCUAACUGGUGUUAAUGUCUCAACCUUGUCAGAAUGAAUGGCUGACAAUGAUAACUCCGCUAACCUAACUGGUGUUGGGAGCUAGCUUCCUUUUCUUAAUGCGCUGUGAAAUCUCUCUCUCAGCUUGAAAAGGUUGUGAGAGCUGUUGUUGUCAGAGAGUUGAGACCUGAUGUUUUUGAAACUCCUCUGCAUCCUCCUGUGGCCUGGUGCCAGGCUAGUGAGUGCAGGCUAAAACCCUUCUCUCGGACGCCAUGGAAACACGGCUGUCAUGGCGAUAAAGAUCCAGGCCAGUCAGCACAAAGCAUUGUUCAUCAAGAGAAUGGCCCUACGGAUGGAUGCCAACGUACACUCACUAACGGGGAAUUAAAAUGUUAAUUUAUCAUCUUUAUUAAUCAGACUCUGAAUGAAUGAUUCAGGAUAUGUAUUUUGUUUGGGACC